AGUGAACGCUGGCGGUAGGCCUAACACAUGCAAGUCGAACGGCAGCACAGUAAGAGCUUGCUCUUACGGGUGGCGAGUGGCGGACGGGUGAGGAAUACAUCGGAAUCUACUUUUUCGUGGGGGAUAACGUAGGGAAACUUACGCUAAUACCGCAUACGACCUACGGGUGAAAGCAGGGGAUCUUCGGACCUUGCGCGAAUGAAUGAGCCGAUGUCGGAUUAGCUAGUUGGCGGGGUAAAGGCCCACCAAGGCGACGAUCCGUACCUGGUCUGAGAGGAUGAUCAGCCACACUGGAACUGAGACACGGUCCAGACUCCUACGGGAGGCAGCAGUGUGGAAUAUUGGACAAUGGGCGCAAGCCUAAUCCAGCCAUACCGCGUGGGUGAAGAAGUCCUUCGGGUUGUAAAGCCCUUUUGUUGGGAAAGAAAAGCAGCAUGUUAAUACCCCGCUGUUCUGACGGUACCCAAAGAAUAAGCACCGGCUAACUUCGUG
Molecule: ribosomal RNA, 492 nt
Filed under: uncultured bacterium
Lineage: Bacteria
Description: partial 16S ribosomal RNA
Rfam family: Bacterial small subunit ribosomal RNA
Source: RNAcentral